Molecule: ribosomal RNA, 292 nt
Filed under: uncultured bacterium
Lineage: Bacteria
Description: partial 16S ribosomal RNA
Source: RNAcentral
GGACUACAGGGGUAUCUAAUCCCAUUCGCUCCCCUAGCUUUCGUUCCUCAGCGUCAGUAAUGGCCCAGCGAGUCGCUUGCGCCACCGGUGUUCUUCCCAAUAUCUACGCAUUUCACCGCUACACUGGGAAUUCCACUCGCCUCUACCAUACUCCAGUCUGGCAGUAUCCAAUGCACUCCCGGGGUUGAGCCCCGAUCUUUAACAUCAGACUUACCAAACCGCCUACGAACUCUUUACGCCCAAUAAAUCCGGACAACGCUCGCAUCCUACGUCUUACCGCGGCUGCUGGCAC